Scleropages formosus (Asian bonytongue) is the source of this 8674-nucleotide long non-coding RNA. RefSeq lists it as uncharacterized. NCBI's taxonomy places the organism in Eukaryota, Metazoa, Chordata, Actinopteri, Osteoglossiformes, Osteoglossidae. The record is from RefSeq and is a predicted model, not a curated record. The transcript is spliced from 3 exons.
CGCCAGAGAGCAGGACCUGGGCAAACCUGCUGCGCCACUGCACCCCCUACAACAGACAACCGUUUGCAUUAUUGUCUUACUUAUCCGUUUUCUGUCAACAACGAGGUUUAAUUUUCUGCUGUUUGGCAGAACGCUCGGUAUGAAAUGGGCGACUGCGGAGUGAUGGUAAAACUGAUGGCCAUGGAGUGAUGGUGAAAUGGAUAGCUGUAGAAGAAGGAUCCUACCUAGCAGGCCUUUGACACGCUGGCAUGACAGCGCAAUGCUACGCUGAGCAGUGGGACAGACCCUCUGAUCAGGGACUGCCCUUGACAGCUUGGCAUGCUGACAGGUUUCACAGCAAAAAAAAAAAAAAAAACCCCUAACUGAUCCCAUGAGCAGCUUUUAAGGCUUCCAAGUAAAGAAGUGGCUGGAAAAACCCCAAAAUAAAGAACCUCUUUGCUUUCUUCUGGGGACAAAAUAAGAGGAGACAAAUGACACACACAAAAAAAAAAAAAAAAAGUGCGCGGCCAUUUGGGUCACGGCGGUCACUCCGGUGACAGUAAAGCUUGCUUCGCUUGAACCCGAGAUGCCGGGGGGAGAGCGCGGCGAGUCAGCCCUUCUCGCGAGAGAAGAAAAGGUCAACCAGCACGAAAACUGACGAUGUGUGUGUCGGGGGGUGCUGGAGACUCUGACUCACUGCUCAUUUGCAUGGGGUAAAAUCCCUGCGCGCCCUGGUGCGUUUACAUAUGGUGCCGUAACUCGCGCUUCCUCUGCGACGCCCGGGCCCUCUAGGUGGAGGGCGUGGCGACCCGAGCGCCGCGGGCGCCAGUCUCGAGCGGGACGCUUACCCAAGAGCCGCCGACCGGCACCGGUGCGCUCCUCCGGCUGCGGGAGUUUGCGAACGCAAACACGGCUCGGGCCGCUCAGCCCGUCUUACUUAGCUCGGAAGUCUUCGCCUUACGGGUAAGAGGAGCUUCCUUUUUUAGACUUUUACAUCUCGUCUACCAAAAACGAGCCAAAGAUGUGGCUAGGGGAAGGGAGGGAAAACGAAGGGGUCUCGGCGAAGGAAACGCAGACGGUACGCGCUCCGCAAAAUACGGAAAACAGAAUCAAGGACAACUGUUAACAUGAACAUCCUGAGUGUGCGUUCUCACUCGCACCCACUCUGUCACUACUGCUGCCACCUCUUCCUCCAAUCAACCUCCCUCCCCUCCCUUCCUCCUUGACAUUCGACUCCCGUGGCCAUGAACAAGAGAAAGUGUGCGGUGUCAGUUUUCCAUGGAGUGGGCGACGGGGACGUGACACAAUGCGCCGCUGCCGUUUGAAGUCCGAGCCCCACAACCCAACCCCCUUCCCAAUUUACAUGCCUGCCCGGGUUCCCACAUCUCUGGUUCCAGCCUGUGAGCAUCGUAACCCAACACCUCUCUGGACAUGCAAUCCCCCUCCCGCCACCAACACUCACCUCACCACUUUUGGGAAGGAAAAAUCUCCACCAGUCCUUUUCGAGCAGUGCGCGGUUGCGGAUGUGACUCUGACUCCAAGGUUCCAGUCCAUUCGCACCCUCCCCUCUACAAACAGGAUAGACACUCAGGGAUUAUACGUGUUCUCACUAGCGGUAAUCGCAGCGAUCGCCAACGACCUCUUCUUUUCAAGGGUAAGUCACAGUUACCGAACGGAGGCAGAAGAAGAGCCGCAGUCGGGUUUUACGAUGCGAAACGCGGGUGCCGAGCCCUUCCAAAAAAAAAGAAGGGAUCGGGAACGGUGUCCCUGUCACAAGUCUACCAGUCCUGGCAGCGAAACCCUCUGGAGACCAGUUUAUUGACCUUCCCUUAGAGUCGCAUUUCAGAGCUCUAAACCCAAUGCCUGAUGCUACUGAGCAUGUCCCACUUAGCUAAAGAAACGAGGUGGUUUGGGAAAUUUGAUGCCUCUUGGUGACCUUUGACUCCACAACACCAUGAGGACUACAAAAUACAAGGCUGUGGAUUCAGGUUAAAUACCUUCUCAGUCUAAAAUGCUUUGAAAUCCUGGGAUGAAAGGAGCCCUACAAAAUGUAUUCAUAUUUGUUCUAUUAUUAUAUGCCUACACGAGACCGCUGUUCCUUGUAAUGCAAUACAACAUUUCUCUGUUGGGAUUAUUUGUCUUUGAGAAGAAAACAAAAAAAAUCUUUUUUUCUUCCGCCAUCCUAUCUCAACUGUCAGAUGAAGUCUUCCCCAUGGACACGGUGUUAAUCGCGAUGGAUGUCUAUUUCUCUCGAGCAGUUCCUCUAGAUCCAGGUAGAUGGCUUGUGGUCGGGCACGCGGACCCGUUUCUCGAUCCGUUUAGGGCCCGUUCCUCGUGCGCAAUAGUCAUCUCAACAUUACAACCCUCCACUGGGCCUGAAAGUGAAGAUGAGGCACACCCCCUACCCAAUUCUGAAAAAGUCAAACACGCGUUGGCAGAACCCUACAAACUACCAAGUCCCCCAGAGACCCCAUUACUCUUCUGCUACAGCUCCGCUCUUCCCGAAAUGGGAAUAAGUUAUUCCAUUAAUAUCUUACAGUUGCAGUGCCGCACACUACAGCUGCUUAAAAUUCAGACUGGAUUUUUCAGAGCGUGCCACCUCACGUGGUGCCGUGGCAGAAGAGCGGCAAGAUAAUGUUCUCAUUUUGACUGGAAAGGGGCACCAUUACGAAUCCCUGCCCGGCGGGAUCUGGCUCGAUAUCACACAGGACCGUUGGUUCGGGGCUUCUUUCCGAAAUACAUCCCCCCGCCCAGCCUUUUAAAUGGACUUCUCUUAUGACCGGGCUCCACGAUUGAAUUAUUUAAUAUCCUGCUUUGUGUAUUGAUUUUUUCUCGCAGCCAGCUUCCGCUAUCCCAUUACAAACAAAGGGGUUUAUUAACUGGUAAACCCAGGGGACGGUGAACCGGCAGAGGAGGACUUCCGCGCCUCACGCCCCAACUACCCAUCUGUGUUGCAACCCAAAUACAGAUCUAUAUCUCAGGCCAAACACAGAUCUAUAUCAUAUACCGCUCUAUGCUUCUGCCACUCCGAAACACUGGCACAUAGUCGAUUUAAUGAAAGAUUACAUGUCAGGGCUCUUUGAACUGAUGAGCUACAUCAUGGAAGGCAACCUAGUGAAGCCCAUCACCUAAUUUUAUAGCAAAUACGGCCUUAAUUUUGCGGAGGACUCGCCGACGAGCGUGUGGCGUCGUGCUCGGCCGCGCUUGAUGCGAGGGCAGCGGUGGAAUCGACCAUCGGGCUAAUGCGAUUCGCGAAGAACCCUAAAGAGCGACGGAAUCAACACGGCAGUUAAGGAACCGGACUUCGAACCUCGACGCUAUCGGCUCGAGUCCUAGGAGAGGUCCCGCUUGACGAGUAAGUAGUUAACUUAAAUUACUCCGCUGAAAUAUCGCCCUGUACGAAUGGGCGCCGUAAUUAUGAAAAUGCGGCACCCGGCUGACUUCGUUCUCAUUUAUCAGACAGAUAGUUGCCUAAUCCUGUUGAUUAUGUUUUCACCUCAGACCCUUAUCCGAUUCACGUCCGAGGAGGCUUUCCCGACAAUUUGGAGUCAAAGUGGCUCGGCGCGCAGCUGUCCGUCCGGGAGCCUAGAACUGAUGUUUAUCGACAGCAAUACCUGCAUAAUUUAGCAAUGUAAGGUACGCUGUAAAUACAGGUCUGACCUGCUCCUACUACUAGCGCAUGAAAUAUUCAUCCGGCGUGGAGUUAAGGAUGGCGCUGCCUACAAUACAUCGCGCGUGUCUGGUGUGCCUCGGGGAGGGGGGGGGGGGGGGGCAUCGUUUCUGGGUAAACUAAACCUAUACUUAACCAAACGCUGCGGCCUAGGACGGGCCGUAGCAACUUUGUCGCUCCCAAACAUCGAACCGUAUUUCUACGUUACUUAUCCCUUCACGUCGUGCUUUCGAGCAAACCCGCUUGUCCAAAUAUAGCCGGAUGUUUAACUGAAGCAGUUCAAUUAUCAACAGCAGCUUUUCCCACCCCCGUGAGACUGAAACAUGCAACCCUUUGGCCACGAGUCCGGUCAUUAACCGCUACACCGAAGCCGCAGGAAGCCCAAAGCCUGCGGGUCGGUGUAAGUUCAUCCGCAGUGCGUGGGCCACUGGGACAGCCUGGCAAUGCGAGUGCCGUAAAGGUCAACGGCAACCCCCCGCCCCCCGCCACCACCACCACCACCACCACCACACACAGUGCUGGGUGCAAAAAAGCUGAGAAAGAAGCCCAAGCUGACCUCUGCUAUUAAUAAAAAGUGAGGCCUAGCAGAAUUCAAUAAGCCUGUUUUAUCCUGGGGGGAGUCCAUUAAAGGCGAGGGAUGACGAGCAAGGGGCUGCUGCUGUGAAUGAGGAGGGUGAGUGAGUCAUCGCAUUUCCUGGGUGAGGGAUGAGAGCCUCCUAUGGGGUUUCUGGGGAGUACAUCCAUUUUAGAUAUCCCUCCACCACCCCACGAACCCCCCCCCCGAUCCCCAACUGCCCUCCUCUCAGCCAUUUUUGCAGAACAAUCCAAUUUAUCACUUCUGCCCCAGUGAACCGCUGCAGUUUUGGCUCUGGGGCUGACACUGUGUCGCACUUCAAACCGGUUGUGUUACGGCGCAAUUAGUUUUGUCAUGAAAGCAGUACAAAAUUGAACUCGGGGAUUAGGUGAAGUUUUCGCUGUUAAAGCUUUGACCGUUUCCCAUGCCAUCUUAAGGUUGACUCACCUACGAAAUCGUCACCCAUCUACUGCACUCAAGAAGAAACGCUCACUUUCUGCUGUGCCGUAACUCGGAGAUCUUCUAGAAGGAAGAGCAUUCAGAUGCCAACCAACCAUGAGCCUGCAUUCACACAAAUUUCUGAGUCAAACAAGUGAGAAUGUCUAUGGAGCUCCUUUAGAGCUGCGGCUCCAAAAGCACCAAGAUGGGCACAUAAAAGUACCCAAAAUGCUGAGGUUUCGUCGAAAAGCUGAUAACACACAAUCAGCAACAGUUUCCACGCAGCUGUGAGAGACACAAGGCCUCUUGAAAUGACCACCAGCGACAGCUAAGCUGGAGACUUCUACCAGACUAGUGAGUAAGCUUUGGAAAACAGACCAAGGGAUACAAAGGGACAAAAGAAGAAAAACCCAACCAACCCAACAAAAGAAGAAAAACCCAUCUGACUACAAAUAGAGUCCAUGAGACAGCCUGUCUGGCUUCACAUUUAGCAGUGUUGGCUGAAACACAGUAGGUGAGAUGAACUCACAUGUGUGUUAGUCAACGGAUCAAUGGUGGCAUUGAAAACUGUCACAGAAGACAAUGUCAUAAUGUCAUCAUCGUUCAGUACUCAGCUUUCAGAGGGACCGACCACUCACUUGAACUAUAGCGGACGAUCCAAGUCCACGUCAACACCAGCUCCGAAAGGCUUCCUCGCAACAAAUGUAAAUCCUCUAUGAUGUUUCUAAAACCGACAACACCGCUAACGCACACCGGUGCCGUAAGAAGCGGUAAACACGGUCGCCGACUGGUGCAAGAACUCGCUGCGUAGAGCAAGACGCUGCAGUUUGGCAGCAGGUCUUCUGGGAGUCGCGCUGGUUGUCAUGCUGCCGCAGGGCCCCGUUCCCAAGAGGCGUUGUGCCUUAAGACUGCAGAGCUGCCACGGCGUUCCUUUUGUUCCUCCUACGACACCGGAGCUCAUCAUGUAAGAUACUGCCAGUCCGCCAACAGGAAGGCACGGAAGGCGCAGAUCCUCUAGGUAAAUCAAGUACCACCUACUUAAGCGUAAUAAAUGGAUAAAGGGAAACAUCUUUGACGGUCAUGACUUCAGCUUCCAGUUAUGUCACCAUGAUGCUAACCAUAGGCCAUAUGUCAUCUUACAAUGAGAUCAGCCCUCUCGCAGAGUGGAAAUGUAUGUCAAAACACACGAUGCAAUGAAGCGUUAUCGUUCCGAGUAAAGAUUUCAGCCACUCCCCAAGAUUCUCCCAUUUGGGUUGUAAGAAUUUGACUUUACGAGGAGUUCCAUUUAACACCCCUGCUUCAGCUUGCGAGGCGUUUCUUCGCAUUUAUGACAAAAAUUAAGAACAACGGUAAUUAUGCCCUUCAUUUUUUUUUUAUUUUGAUGAGAAUCCACCUUACGAUGGGGUGUUCAAGGAAAUUUACCCUUGAAAGACGGGGAAAGACUGUACGUACAAGUCAAAUGAAAAAACGUUUACUCUUCCUGUAGGUUACACAGCUCUGCGUUGCUAACCAUAGACUUCUCUGUCAUGCCACCACAGUAAACAACCACUGUUACCAAACCACCACUGGAUAAGGCAGCAUUUUUGCUGGCCCGCAUGGGUUUGGGUUACGCGGGCCCACUGUCGUGUCCUUUUUGCUACAGACAACGAUGCGCCGCCGUUGGUUCGACUUCUAAGGGCCCUUCGAGCAUCCCAAAGUGGCAUCCAGACGGCUAGUUGAGGGAGGAGAUGGAGACAGGCAGCCAGCGAGAAAAAAUGUCUACAAAUGCUCAAGGAACGGUCACCGCUGCGCCAAGCUUGCACCACGAUACCGCAGUGACGACCGAUACGCGGGAUUGCUUCCAGGUCUUCGGAAGACAAAAAGAACAUGCAUUUUAUUCAUUCUACCGGGCGCCGUCGGCGUCUUCGGACGGAAUCGAGAGCGAAAAAGACGCACAAACGCAAGGAACCGUGUCCUCGGACAUGCGGCGCCUCGGUACUCCCAGUGCCGCAUCGACGCGUGGACUUGUGCCGGAAGGGCAUAUUCGUCAGGGAGGGACCCCUGAAGGACAGCGUCCCAACGAAGAGUCGACAAAAGGGCAAAGUCGUCCACAACCGGGGGGAGAGCGGCUAUGGAGAUACCCCAAGAGACCAGUAGCACAUUCACAUGAAAAAGGUUUACGUUUAUUCAUUUAGCUGAUGCUUUUCUUUGAAGUCACGUAUAGUUAUUGACCCAUUUAAACCUUUCUCACAGGUACUAUUGGCAGCGAUAAGAUUCAAACCUGUAACCUUUGGGUCCAAAAGCAACAGCUCUAACCACUACACAUCUCUCUCUCUCUCUCUCUCUCUCUCUCUCUCUCUCUCUCUCUCUCUCUGCGGUCGUUUAAGGACAUGGGAGGAUCACAUCUACGCUGCUGCGAGCCCCUCCACUACCGAAUACACCCCGACCAACCCCCAAACAGGAACACCCACAACCCACACACACUUGGGUAUUUUCCAAGUAUACAGUUCACUCUAAAUUCUGCAACUAAAAACAUCACAAGGGUUUCACUCAAGUGUUGUGAGGCACGACGAACGUCCUUUAAGUGAUGAUGCAACCACUCCGACCGCUCGUCGGUCAGCGAUCGGCACUUGUCCUCACCUGCUGAGGGAGGCACAUGUAUAAAAGCUCAUAGUCCUGCUCCAUUUCCCCCACAUUUAAAUGUAAUGAUAUUAAUAUAUUCGUUCCUUACUGAACUCUACCAUCCAGGAAAGAACAAGUCCAGAACAGAGCAGACAGCCACAGAACGUGAACUAGUACUGUAGCGGUUAGACCAUCUGCUUCUGUGCUCAUAGGUCAUAGGUUUGAAUCCCACCCCCUGCCGUACUAGCCUAUAGCAACGUGAGCACCCUGAAUUACUCCGGUAAAAAUGCACAGCUGAAUGAAUGGGUUAUUGUGAGUAAUUUAACACUAAGUCACGCUGGAGAAAAGGGUUAUAGCUAAGUGAGUAAAUAUAAGUAGUGCAACCAAUUCAUAAACAAGUCUAUAAUCUCAAAAAGAAAUGUGAAGUUGUGUCUCUGCUAUGCCACACACUGCAACAUUUCAGCAAACUGCCAGGUUCCACACAUUGCAGCUCUGCAUUUGAUUUUUUUUUCUUUUUUUAAAUCUUCUUAAAUGUCAAACUCUUAUUCUCUGGAAACCUCACCCCAGUUCUUAGAAUGUAAGUAUUCACCACAACCGGUAUUCUUAGAGUUAGGGCAGCCUGGGAUACGUCUAUAGCCCCGUCUAAAUAUAGCUGCUUCGCAAACGUGCGCUGCGGGUUCUACCGUCGCUUUUGUUAUUAUUUAUACGCUGCUGUUUAGACCUGAAAUAUUGAAACAGGAGCCCUGAAACGAUGCAACGAACGGGCGCGUUCCUAGAGCUGAAAGUGCGAGGGCUGGCCCCGAACUCCCGUGGUUUCACAUUUAUCAGCCCGAGACACUCGUGCCCAAUAUUCCCCAUUUACGGAGGGAUUACGGCGCUUGAGCUCGUUGCAAAGCGGGGUUUACGGAAUCGGGCUCUCGCGUGGACCGGACCGCAGAAGGCCUGGCGGCACCCGGCCCGCCCGCGUUUGCUUUUCCGACGAGCGCCACCUCUACGCUUACCCUAGCAUUAAGAGCCAUUAUUGCAACGGAAGCGGCGGCGUCGCAGCGGACGAUCGCGUGACGCUGACGUCUGUGGCUUUGCCGCUGUACGCCAGCCAGAAGCGCAAAGACGCAGCGCCGUGUGUCGUAACAGUUUCUUGAGAAACGCUCGGGAGGGUUUUCACGGGGGGGAGCACGUGCUUCCCAGGCUCGGGCCGAGACGCCGCUGUCAAGUUCGCACACACCCGCAACUCUCCGCCCUCCCAGAACUCCGCACGCCUCCGUCUCGCUCUCGCUCUCUCUCUCCCCUUGAAAGGCCAGAAGAGGAGGAGAAGGAUCAGAGUGCGUGCGGGUUAUGUUCGCGGCGGGGGCCACGGGGGCUGAAGUCACCGCUUGGCUCAAUGCGGCUUUUCCGUGAUCCGACUCCAAGCC